GACGAACGCUGGCGGCGUGCUUAACACAUGCAAGUCGAACGGAAAGGCCCUGCUUUUGUGGGGUGCUCGAGUGGCGAACGGGUGAGUAACACGUGAGUAACCUGCCCUUGACUUUGGGAUAACUUCAGGAAACUGGGCUAAUACCGGAUAGGAGCUCCUGCUUCAUGGGGGGGGUUGGAAAGUUUCGGCGGUUGGGGAUGGACUCGCGGCUUAUCAGCUUGUUGGUGGGGUAGUGGCUUACCAAGGCUUUGACGGGUAGCCGGCCUGAGAGGGUGACCGGCCACAUUGGGACUGAGAUACGGCCCAGACUCCUACGGGAGGCAGCAGUGGGGAAUAUUGCACAAUGGGCGGAAGCCUGAUGCAGCAACGCCGCGUGCGGGAUGACGGCCUUCGGGUUGUAAACCGCUUUCGCCUGUGACGAAGCGUGAGUGACGGUAAUGGGUAAAGAAGCACCGGCUAACUACGUG
RNAcentral lists this ribosomal RNA (467 nucleotides) under uncultured bacterium. RNAcentral's name for it is "partial 16S ribosomal RNA". It matches the Rfam family "Bacterial small subunit ribosomal RNA", at positions 28 to 507 of the family's 1533-position model. The record is from RNAcentral.